Megalops cyprinoides (Indo-Pacific tarpon) is the source of this 1652-nucleotide long non-coding RNA. RefSeq lists it as uncharacterized. Lineage: Eukaryota; Metazoa; Chordata; Actinopteri; Elopiformes; Megalopidae. The record is from RefSeq and is a predicted model, not a curated record. The transcript has 3 exons.
CGAUCGGGCGGCAUGGAGGAGAAUGUACUAUUCUUGGUAUGAUUUGAAGCCACAAAAAGACACGGUGCGGUGGUUUAUUUCCUGGUGCUGCUAUAUAUGAGACUGACGUGCAGCGCAUCGAAGUCAAGCCGGAUCACCUGCAUGACGUCCUUCGAAUAGCGCCGCUGAUUGGUUAAAGAUGCGGACCGUUGAGUUGUGAUAUUCUUUUCAUUUACGAAAUUGAUGUUAAUAAAAUUUUUUAUUAUUUCAGCGACGAUUUCCCCGCAAGAGAGUAACGCUACGAGACCUUAUCUAAAAAUAAUGGAAACAAUUAAAAUAGUAAUAGUAAUUUUUAUAUACAUGCUCUAACUUAAUAUUAAUGUAACCAUUAAUAUACUUAAUAUAACUUGAUAUUAAUUGAAACAGAAAUACCAGAAACACAGUCAGACGUUGGAAAAAUGAAAUUAAGAAGACAAGACUGGAUCGUGAGGUGGAGGAAACGAACGGAGGUUAUGAGCGUACAGACGGAAGGCCUGGCGUACCUGCUGCUGGACUGGCCUCUGUAGGUGAAACUGUAAAUACCUCACUUCCUCUUCAAAUGCCAAAACCACAUUUUAUAUUUAUGAAAAUCAAAAAAUAUAUUUUUAUCAGUCAACAACAAAAUUAUAAUACUCUACCCUCAAGUUAUGAAGUUAAGUUUUUAAAUCUUGAAUGAUCUGGCUGCAGAAUCUGUAAACACUCUGUUCUGAAAGCCAAACCGCAGACAGGUGAGACAGAAGGGCCGGAAGGAGCAUCACCUGCCGGGGUAAGAACACAGGAAUCCCUGCUGCAUCACACCAUAUUCUACCAGGGUCUCAAAUAUAUUGCAGUAUUUGCUUUUCUGCUUCUGUUCUGUCAGUUUUACUUUCUAUAGAACUUCCCCUCACAGAGGCAAAUAACAUCUAUCAUCUAUAUAUCUACGUGUAUAUACACACACGCACACACACACACACACACACACACAGUACCUCUGAUUAGCAUUAGUUAUAUAUAGGGUAAUUUAUCAGAGGCACUGAACUCAGUGUUUUAGAGUAGCAUUGGAAAUCUGUCUCUUUAAAAGUUAAUAGAGAAUUUCAGCUUUGCAACAGCAGAGAAAAAAAGCAUGAGAAUGCAACAAUUCCCUGGCCCUGAUUUGCUGGCCAAUCAACUGAGCAUUGGUUGGGGGCGGGGCUCUUUGCUUUUUAAAUUCCUUCCCAUGGCCUCAUUUUUGUGUGUAUUGAUGGAUAUGACAGAGAGGGAGCAUGGUUUAGCAACAGCACUGCUACAGGGAAGCUGAAAGCUAAAGAAUUGUGUAGAAUAUGGGCUAUGGGAGUAGGUUUUGCUGGGAAGGGUUGGCACCUGUAGGAGGGGCUCAUUAGUGCUGCUGCCCCACCCUAAGGAGGGCUCUGGGCAGGCAGCAGAAGCCCACAGCCCUGAUGUGCUGAUCCAGCUGAUGAAAGGCGGGGUGGAUGGUCAACUAGCCUUUACCACGGAGUAAUGCCUCUACAACUGCGGAUGUGAGCUUGUGCUACACAUGGGUGUUUAAUGGUGAAGGCUCAGAGCUGAUAAAUGCCGCCUGUAGUGUUUACAGGCACAGUUAACUUAAUAUAGCCAGUGUGCUAAGGGUACUUUAUAUCUGGAAUGUGUUUAGACAG